Molecule: ribosomal RNA, 484 nt
Filed under: uncultured bacterium
Lineage: Bacteria
Description: partial 16S ribosomal RNA
Rfam family: Bacterial small subunit ribosomal RNA
Source: RNAcentral
AGUGAACGCUGGCGGCAGGCCUAACACAUGCAAGUCGAGCGGCAGCGGGUCCUUCGGGAUGCCGGCGAGCGGCGGACGGGUGAGGAAUACAUCGGAAUCUGCCCUGUCGUGGGGGAUAACCUAGGGAAACUUAGGCUAAUACCGCAUACGACCUACGGGUGAAAGCGGGGGAUCGCAAGACCUCGCGCGACAGGAUGAGCCGAUGUCCGAUUAGCUAGUUGGCGGGGUAAAGGCCCACCAAGGCGACGAUCGGUAGCUGGUCUGAGAGGAUGAUCAGCCACACUGGGACUGGGACACGGCCCAGACUCCUACGGGAGGCAGCAGUGGGGAAUAUUGGACAAUGGGCGCAAGCCUGAUCCAGCCAUGCCGCGUGGGUGAAGAAGGCCUUCGGGUUGUAAAGCCCUUUUGUCCGGGAAGAAAUCGUCUGGGCUAAUACCCCGGGCGGAUGACGGUACCGGAAGAAUAAGCACCGGCUAACUUCGUG